This 253-nucleotide ribosomal RNA is filed under the name uncultured bacterium. RNAcentral's name for it is "partial 16S ribosomal RNA". It matches the Rfam family "Bacterial small subunit ribosomal RNA", at positions 524 to 776 of the family's 1533-position model. The record is from RNAcentral.
UACGGAGGGUGCAAGCGUUAUCCGGAUUUACUGGGUUUAAAGGGUGUGUAGGCGGGCUUUUAAGUCAGUGGUGAAAUCUCCGGGCUCAACCUGGAAACUGCCAUUGAUACUAUUAGUCUUGAAUUUUGUUGAGGUAGGCGGAAUAAGUCAUGUAGCGGUGAAAUGCAUAGAUAUGACUUAGAACACCAAUUGCGAAGGCAGCUUGCUAAACAAACAUUGACGCUGAGGCACGAAAGCGUGGGGAUCAAACAGG